UGUCGGACCCAAUAUUUGAAGCCAGAUGUGUGGAGAGGUUAAUCACUCCCCUCACCGGCAGUGGAUGCAGCCACACUGCUGCCUGCAAAACAUCUUUAUUGCUUCAACGCAAGGAAGGCUCUAGAAGCAUCUAGUUUGUCUAUGAUUGCUUCUCAUAUAUUUUUAUGCAAGGAAGGCUCUAGAAGCAUUUGGUUUGUCCAUGCAGAUGAUCUUAAUUACCUGGUUAUCAAUUAGCUUAAGCAAAGCUAAUUUCAUGCUUGCCACCCUCACACAACAUCGGGAUGCGUUUUGCACGAGAAGCAACGGCAAGGUUUGCCUUCUACAGCAGUCUAGUUUCUUGUUACCAUUGUCUAAUAAUCAAUACCAUCUUAAGCAUCAUGCGAUAGUUGAAGCAGGAAACAUGCACAUGCGCUCACCUUCCGGUUGCAUUUCAUCACAUAAAAGUGCCACAAACUAGCAAUACAACGAUAGGUAGCUUUAUGUGAAUUCGCAUUAAUAAUCCAUGCCACACAUACAAUAGCGAUAGUAGAUAGAAAGUUUAUCAUAUAGUAGUAGCUUGAGUAACUUCCAUGUUGUUUGGUUAAUGCUGCCUAUGAUAGUUGAUGAUCUUCUUGUUUGGUCUAGACGUACCUUCAGUUCUGUAAACAUAUUAAAUUAUCAGAGCAUGCACAACAAAUCCAAGUUAUGAUAAACAACUGACACAUCCUGAUUCUGGAUUAGGAACUCACAAAUUUGAAAAUUGCUUUAUCUUAUUUGAUCAAGGAUAGGUUGUUGUUGUUGUAACGAUGUUCUUAUAUCUAUGCCUAACAUCUGCAUGCGAGGCACCCCUAACCCUUUUUUAUUAUUGUAAUUAACUUUCAAAAGUUGCAUAUAGACUUAUAUGAUGUGCUGUCUAAACUAGGUAGGCACCUCUGUCGGACCCAAUAUUUGAAGCCAGAUGUGUGGAGAGGUUAAUCACUCCCCUCACCGGCAGUGGAUGCAGCCACACUGCUGCCUGCAAAACAUCUUUAUUGCUUCAACGCAAGGAAGGCUCUAGAAGCAUUUGGUUUGUCCAUGCAGAUGAUCUUAGUUACCUGGUUAUCAAUUAGCUUAAGCAAAGCUAAUCUCAGGCUUGCCACCCUCACACAACAUCGGGAUGCGUUUUGCACGAGAAGCAACGGCAAGGUUUGCCUUCUACAGCAGUCUAGUUUCUUGUUACCAUUGUCUAAUAAUCAAUACCAUCUUAAGCAUCAUGCGAUAGUUGAAGCAGGAAACAUGCACAUGCGCUCACCUUCCGGUUGCAUUUCAUCACAUAAAAGUGCCACAAACUAGCAAUACAACGAUAGGUAGCUUUAUGUGAAUUCGCAUUAAUAAUCCAUGCCACACAUACAAUAGCGAUAGUAGAUAGAAAGUUUAUCAUAUAGUAGUAGCUUGAGUAACUUCCAUGUUGUUUGGUUAAUGCUGCCUAUGAUUGUUGAUGAUCUUCUUGUUUGGUCUAGACGUACCUUCAGUUCUGUAAACAUAUUAAAUUAUCAGAGCAUGCACAGCAAAUCCAAGUUGAAAAUUAAUUACAAUGAUAAACAACUGACACAUCCUGAUUCUGGAUUAGGAACUCGCAAAUUUGAAAAUUGCUUUAUCUUAUUUGAUCAAGGAUAGGUUGUUGUUGUUGUAACGAUGUUCUUAUAUCUAUGCCUAACAUCUGCAUGCGAGGCACCCCUAACCCUUUUUUAUUAUUGUAAUUAACUUUCAAAAGUUGCAUAUAGACUAAUAUGAUGUGCUGUCUAAACUAGGUAGGCACCUCUGUCGGACCCAAUAUUUGAAGCCAGAUGUGUGGAGAGGUUAAUCACUCCCCUCACCGGCAGUGGAUGCAGCCACACUGCUGCCUGCAAAACAUCUUUAUUGCUUCAACGCAAGGAAGGCUCUAGAAGCAUUUGGUUUGUCCAUGCAGAUGAUCUUAGUUACCUGGUUAUCAAUUAGCUUAAGCAAAGCUAAUCUCAGGCUUGCCACCCUCACACAACAUCGGGAUGCGUUUUGCACGAGAAGCAACGGCAAGGUUUGCCUUCUACAGCAGUCUAGUUUCUUGUUACCAUUGUCUAAUAAUCAAUACCAUCUUAAGCAUCAUGCGAUAGUUGAAGCAGGAAACAUGCACAUGCGCUCAC
This 2138-nucleotide long non-coding RNA is filed under the name Setaria italica (foxtail millet). RNAcentral's name for it is "long non-coding RNA (SITA_LNC004216)". The record is from RNAcentral. Lineage: Eukaryota; Viridiplantae; Streptophyta; Magnoliopsida; Poales; Poaceae.